Sus scrofa (pig) is the source of this 3552-nucleotide non-coding RNA. The record is from RefSeq and is a predicted model, not a curated record. NCBI's taxonomy places the organism in Eukaryota, Metazoa, Chordata, Mammalia, Artiodactyla, Suidae.
GAACACGGGGUGACAGGUUCAUUUUCCACUGUAUAUCUUUCUCUACUGGUGGAUAUCGCCCGCCCCCUGUUUCUAUUAACUAUUCGAGGCAGGGGGAAAGCCCACCCUCUCCAGUCAGCCUUGCUCCUGCAACAGAUUUUUCUCUGCAGCUUCAGACAAGGACCCUCCACUUUGUUCCAGUACCUCUUCUUCCGGCGCUGCCCUCUCUCCUCGCUUGGAUUCAAGCUGUGUGCCCACUAGGUUACUGAUGCUCUGGCCUCAUCGGCCUCCCAGGGAUCUGAACCAUCUGCAUGCAGGACCCCAACUCCCUCUCGUGUCCGUGAGUGCAAAGCAAUGCGUUCUGAGCCCAGAAGCCUUGCCCUGAAGGCCCAGCCCUCCCUUCGCUGAUGCUUUUCUGAAUUUCAUAACCAACAUCAGAGACCACUAAUCUCCUCAAAGGCUAUUGCAAAACUCCCUGUGGGCUGUGGGCACAUGGAGGCAAUUAACAUGAUUUAUAGGAGAGAAGAGCUAUUGGAAAGAGGAAACCCACUGUUUCCACAUGGGCCUGGGGCUUGUAAGUCAAAAAGGCAAGUUCAGAUUUUGUUGUUGUUGUUGUUAAUGCUUAAAUUCCAAAUUCUUAUCCUCACAGAAAAUGAGGGGUACAAAUUGUGACUUUAGUCAGGAACUUCUUACAAGAUUCUGCCUCUAGACAGAGGAUCUAUGGGUGUAUGUUACUAAGAAUAUGAAAAAGAAGGCUACAUGUUGGCCUCUUGUGGCAGCUAUAGUCAUCCUGCAUAUCGAAUGGCAAGCCCUUGCUAUUAGAAUGCUUGCUAUUAGAGAUGAAAAUAAGGAAGGAAGGAAAGCUUAUGUUUCAAACUCUGUGCAGGCACUUUUGUUACUGUAUAAGGAUGUUAUCUCAUUUAAUGCUCCCAGUAACACUAACGGGAGUACUAUUAUUGUGCUUUGACAUUUAAUUCUUUUCAACAAAUAUAAAUAUUUAUUAUUUGUCAAGCCCAGAUAUGGGGUUCUAGCAUUCAUUCAUUCAACAAAUAUUUGUUUGUUGCAUUUUGAUUGCUUAUUUAUUAUUUAUUUGCCAGGCCUGGAUUUGGGGUUCUAGCAGUGAAUAAAUCAGAUGAAGACUCUAAGCUCUUAAAUCUUACAUUCUAGGAGACAGACGCUAAAGAAAUAGACAAAUAAAUCUAUCCUUUAAGACAGUGAUGUGUAUUAAGAAUAAAAGUAAAACAGAAUAAGGGGCAAGUCUGAUUUGGGGGUAAAAUGUUAGAGAGGGCAGGUGAAGUGGGUAGGCUGGCAGAUUUCCAGGAGAAGAGCUUUUCAAGGGGAGAAAAUUUAAAGUGCAAAGGCCAAGAGGUGGAGGAAAGAAUGAUCUCCUUUUUUUCCUCCCCCUUACUCUGCCCAAGAAAGGCUCUGACCUCUUGUACAGCAUAACCUGUAGGAAGCAGCAGAGGAAGCCUGGAAUCCAGUUAAGAGCUGACUGUAGGAGGGCAAGAGUGCUGGAGGCCUGGAUGGGGAGCGAGGUAGGAGUGGGGAAGUGGAGGCAUGGAUCCGUGAUGCUCUGCUCUAGGUGGAGGCAGAAGCCUUGCUGACAGAUGGGUGAGGGUUGUGGGAGGAAUCCAGGGUUUUGGCCCAAGCAAGUGGGUACUUAAUGGUGCCUUCAGGGAGGUAAGGAAGACUGGAGGGCAAGUGGUCUUGGGGGUACUUUGAAGCAGGUGGGAAAACUGAGACUCGGAGAGGAAAUUCAGUCACGUGCUAGUACCUGGCAGGGGUGGCAUUGAAAAUCAGCAACCCACCUGCCCCCAAAGUCACCAUUAAUAGGAGUUAAAAUUGGGCUUUACGUUGGUAAGAUCCAUCACCCUUGUAUCAUCUCUUCCUCUAGCCAAUUCUAGGGUCUCAGCCUGGCUACGGUGGGGCCGGGUAGGUGGGGGGUACAAAUAGGUCCUCCUCCCUCCCCACGCCCACACCUUUCUGCACGUGGAUUCCAGCCUUGUACCAAUAAGAAUAUAACUCUUGGGGAAUAUUUAUUGGGGCCAUCACCACCCACUCUUGAUCACUUGUGUGUUUAUUGGCUUAUCGUCUACCUGCAGUUUCCCUCGUCCCCACAUCAGUUCUGCAGAGAGUGACGGCUAACCUGUGUUCCUGGCCCCUACGAGUCUGUGCACAAAGAUGAGCGCUUGUCUGAUGACUCCUGAAUCCCUUGGGCUGCUCUGGCAUCUCUCCACCGCUAUGGAGAUGACUGUCCACUGAAAUGAACUUGGGCCCAGCUUCCCCAGAACCCAGGCCAGAGCCAGAAAACAGCCUGCACUCAAGAAAUCUUGUUGAAUAAAUUCUGAUUGAUACCUUUGAGGAGGUGAUGUUUGAGCCUUGGGACCGUGGGAGAUGAAUAGUGAAGAUGGGAAAGAAAGAAAGGACAGCAGAGCCUGUGGAAGAAAGAACAAGACAGGCACAUAGGAUGGCCCAUGAACAGGCAUGACACCUGUUACUCCUGGGCAGUCUCCCUAACCGCCAGCCGGACGAUACAGAGAAAAGCCACCUCCAAGGUCACGGGCAUUGAGCUGCGGAAAUAAUUCAAUUCAAACUCGUCUACUGCUGUGGGAUGCAACAGAGCAUUUAAGUGGCAUUAUUAGUCUGCCUUUUAAAGCCCCUUCUGGCUUAAUUUAUGAUUCACUACAGCUCUCACCACUUUCUGGGAAGGAGAGACACUCAUACCUUUUCUAUAUGACUCACCGUUUUUGCAGUUACCUUUCUCAGGUUCAGACCAUCCAGGUAACUAAAGGAAUUUGCAGCGAGACCGGCUACCUUGCUCUGGACUCCCCUUAAAACGCUCUGAUGGCCUGUUACCAAAAAAAGAGAUUGAACUUCAAAUGGCAAAUGGCCAGGAUUGUGUUGUUUUGACACUUGGAACAAUGCAAUGCCAAUUCCGUUAAUUUAUGGGAGAAACCGCUCAGUUCUCUAACUUGCUGGCAGCCGCAAAUGGUUCUAGAAUCAACAGUGCCCCCUGGUGGCAUCUUCUGGCAUAGUCUCAUGGCAGAGAGAAAUAUAAUAAGAAAAGCUCAGAUUUCUGGGUUUCAGCAAAGGGGCAGAAACAUGCUAAGGGGGCCAUUAAAUUCCUCAGCAGGUGACACUAAUGAGUGUCUUUCUUCUCAAGAGUCAUCAUGGGUCACCACCGGCCCCUUUGCCUCGGACUUGUGAGUGCAAGUUGAAAUAGUUCCCGGAGUGGCCCCUCUUUGAUAGGAUUUCAGCCUGCAGUGUUUCCCACUUGAAGCAGUUGUCUUCAUGGAGCUCAGGAGACUGACAUUUGAUCUCUGCCAAGCACCAGAGUGAUUAAAGCUCAGGCUAGCCGGGACUAGGAACCAGGCUGAGGAGAAGAAAUCCAAAAUUAUUUCUGAUGGAAUGCCACUCUUAGUGGAGAUCCAAUGAGAGGAGCAGAACCACUAUGAAUAGGGAAUUUAUUUUAGGAAUGGGACCUUAUAGAAUUGUGGCAGAGAGUUCCCGUUGUGGCUCAGUAGUAACGAAUCCGACUAGUAUCCUCGAGGAUGCGGGUAUGAUCCCUGGCCU